GGUUAAGUCCGCAACGAGCGCAACCCUUAUUGCUAGUUACCAUCAUUGAGUUGGGGACUCUAGCGAGACUGCCAGUGAUAAACUGGAGGAAGGUGGGGAUGACGUCAAAUCAUCAUGCCCCUUAUGACCUGGGCUACAAACGUGAUACAAUGGCUGAAACAAAGGGCAGCGAAGCAGUGAUGUGGAGCGAAACCCAAAAAAGCAGUCUCAGUUCGGAUUGAAGUCUGCAACUCGACUUCAUGAAGUCGGAAUCGCUAGUAAUCGCGGAUCAGAACGCCGCGGUGAAUACGUUCUCGGGGUUU
RNAcentral lists this ribosomal RNA (302 nucleotides) under uncultured Acholeplasma sp. RNAcentral describes it as "bacterial SSU rRNA". It matches the Rfam family "Bacterial small subunit ribosomal RNA", at positions 1078 to 1382 of the family's 1533-position model. The record is from RNAcentral. Lineage: Bacteria; Bacillati; Mycoplasmatota; Mollicutes; Acholeplasmatales; Acholeplasmataceae.